GACGUAGGGGGCCAGCGUUGUUCGGAAUUACUGGGUGUAAAGGGUUCGUAGGCGGUGUAGCAAGUCGGGAGUGAAAUCUCUGGGCUUAACCCAGAGGCUGCUUCCGAAACUGCUGUGCUUGAGUGUGGGAGAGGCGCGUGGAAUUGCAGGUGUAGCGGUGAAAUGCGUAGAUAUUGGGAGGAACACCAGUGGCGAAGGCGGCUCACUGGACUGGUACUGACGCUGAUGCGCGAAAGCGUGGGGAGCAAACAGG
This 253-nucleotide ribosomal RNA is filed under the name uncultured bacterium. RNAcentral's name for it is "partial 16S ribosomal RNA". It matches the Rfam family "Bacterial small subunit ribosomal RNA", at positions 524 to 776 of the family's 1533-position model. The record is from RNAcentral.